CUCUCUGUAGCUCAGUUGGUUAGAGCGCUGCACUGGAAUCGCAGGGCCACACGUUCGAUUCCAGGGUGU
Paramuricea clavata is the source of this 69-nucleotide non-coding RNA. The record is from the annotation of a GenBank genome assembly. NCBI's taxonomy places the organism in Eukaryota, Metazoa, Cnidaria, Anthozoa, Malacalcyonacea, Plexauridae.